GAUGAACGCUAGCUACAGGCUUAACACAUGCAAGUCGAGGGGCAGCAUGGUCUUAGCUUGCUAAGGCCGAUGGCGACCGGCGCACGGGUGAGUAACACGUAUCCAGCCUGCCGUCUACCCUUGGACAGCCUUCUGAAAGGAAGAUUAAUACAAGAUGGCAUCAUGAGUCCGCAUGUUCACAUGAUUAAAGGUAUUCCGGUAGACGAUGGGGAUGCGUUCCAUUAGAUAGUAGGCGGGGUAACGGCCCACCUAGUCUUCGAUGGAUAGGGGUUCUGAGAGGAAGGUCCCCCACAUUGGAACUGAGACACGGUCCAAACUCCUACGGGAGGCAGCAGUGAGGAAUAUUGGUCAAUGGGCGAGAGCCUGAACCAGCCAAGUAGCGUGCAGGAUGACGGCCCUAUGGGUUGUAAACUGCUUUUAUAAGGGAUAAAGUGAGUCUCGUGAGACUUUUUGCAUGUACCUUAUGAAUAAGGACCGGCUAAUUCCGUG
This 489-nucleotide ribosomal RNA is filed under the name uncultured bacterium. Its description in RNAcentral is "bacterial SSU rRNA". It matches the Rfam family "Bacterial small subunit ribosomal RNA", at positions 28 to 507 of the family's 1533-position model. The record is from RNAcentral.